UGGGACACCGGGGCGGAAGGUGCUGUAGUUACCACCCAUGGUUCCUAUCGACCCUCCCAAGACCUGCCCACCUCAGCAAGAGAUUCCUGAUCCAUGAACCCUGUAAUCGUGUGCUGCUUGUAAGCAAGAGAUGGUGGCCUUCAUAAUUACACCUGCUGUCACCCUGUCCCGCCUUGAGGAAAGCUCAAUUCAUAAGUCCUGACCAGGUUCCAAAACCACAAGAGAAUAGUUUUUACGAAUUAAAACAUCUCUUCCCCA
Molecule: long non-coding RNA, 258 nt
Organism: Cavia porcellus (domestic guinea pig)
Lineage: Eukaryota; Metazoa; Chordata; Mammalia; Rodentia; Caviidae
Exons: 2
Source: RefSeq, a predicted model, not a curated record